Molecule: ribosomal RNA, 575 nt
Filed under: uncultured fungus
Lineage: Eukaryota; Fungi
Description: eukaryotic LSU rRNA
Rfam family: 5.8S ribosomal RNA (bases 212-365)
Source: RNAcentral
AAGUCGUAACAAGGUCUCCGUUGGUGAACCAGCGGAGGGAUCAUUACAGAGUUGCAAAACUCCCAAACCAUCGUGAACGUUACCUACAUCGUUGCUUCGGCGGGUGGCGGGCUUCGGCCCUGCCCUCGGCCCCUCUCGGGGGCCCGCCGGAGGUACACCAAACUCUUGAAUUUACAUGGCCUCUCUGAGUCUUCUGUACUGAAUAAGUCAAAACUUUCAACAACGGAUCUCUUGGUUCUGGCAUCGAUGAAGAACGCAGCGAAAUGCGAUAAGUAAUGUGAAUUGCAGAAUUCAGUGAAUCAUCGAAUCUUUGAACGCACAUUGCGCCCGCCAGUAUUCUGGCGGGCAUGCCUGUCCGAGCGUCAUUUCAACCAUCAAGCCCCCGGCUUGUGUUGGGGACCUGCGGCACACCCGCAGGCCCUGAAAACCAGUGGCGGGCUCGCUGUCCACACCGAGCGUAGUAGCAUAUCUUUGUCUCGCUCAGGGCGUGCGGCGGGUUCCGGCCGUGAAACCCACCUUCUCGAAGGUACCCAAAGGUUGACCUCGGAUCAGGUAGGAAGACCCGCUGAACUUAA